GCUACUAGAGGACGCCCGUUCCAAUGGCAACUCUGCCAAGGCGCCUAUGAGAGCCUCUUGGCUUUUACCUGGUCUGCGAGAAAUCAAACUUUGGGCACAAGUCAUGAAGCCGACAAGCCCGGGAGACACAGUGUCAGAAUUACAAGGUGAGAUCAGCCGCCCGGCCAAGCUAUCUUCUCGCUAGCAGGUCUCGCAUCUGGGGCUCGAUCUCGUGCAGAGGAGCAUUUCCGAAGACACUGGCCGCUCCCACAAUGGCUCCGAAGAACCCAGCGACCAGCGGGUUCAUGAGUUUGUUGGGGCUGUCCACUCGGUACCAGCUGCGCAGGGAUGUCAGGACAAAGAAACAAGUUGCCUGGUUCCAGCCCUGCUUCAGCACGGGGCCUGUGGGGCCCCGGUAAGUCCCGGUGUUCCCGCACAAUCUCCUAACCCUGUGGAAGAAUCCCCUGUACUUGGAUUUGGAGAGGUCUGGCCAUGGAUUAACUUCACCUUGAUGGUCUCCAUGGGACAUAGGACCACCACGGCCUCGGCCACGCUAGCUCACUGGCCGCACCGCUGCCCGCCUUGCUGUUCACCAGUCCCUGGGCAUCCCGCAUCUGGUUGCUGAGGAACGCCUGACGCCGCCUUGUGGAUGAAGCCGCAGAGCAGGGAGCUGAGGCUGCGGCCCAGGCCCAGGCUGCCUUGGCUGCGACUGUGUGCCUGCAGGCCCCAUGCCCGGUAUCCGGUGGAUGCGAGUGCUAGUCCAGCUGCAGCUGCAUCUUCACGAACUCGGUGGGGAACGGGAUGCAGAUUUUUUUUUUCUUUUCCUUCCUUCCUUCCUUCCUUCCAACUUCCUUCCUUCCUUCCCCUUUCUUUCUUUCUUUUUUUUUUUUUUUUUUUUUUGACAGAAUUUUGCUCUUGUCCCCCAGGCUGGAGUGCAGUGGCGCGAUCUUGGCUCACUACAACCUGGAUUCAAGCGAUUCUCCUGCCUCAGCCUCCCGAGUAGCUGGGAUUACAGGCAUGUGCCACCAUUCCCGGCUAAUUUUUUUGUCUUUUUAGUAGAGACGGUGUUUCCCCAUGUUGGUCAGGCUGGUCUCAAACGCCUGACUCAGAUGAUCCGCCCGCCUCGGCCACCCAAAGUGCUGAGAUUACAGGCUUGAACCACCGCGCCUGGCCCUGUGAUGUAGAUUUUGAUGCUGCCAGCCAGGCUGCCUGCCGGGAUCGCCUGCCCUGGAGCAGGAGCAUCAGCCGUGCGUUCCAGGACGCAGGCAUGGCAUGACCGGCAGGAGGCGGAGUGCCCGGCGUCUCUUGGGAUCGGAGCCUCCUGAAUUCCACGCUGGGACCUUAAUUUGGUUUUAACACAAAUAAAGAUCUCACAUAAAGAUAAAA
This 1365-nucleotide long non-coding RNA is filed under the name Homo sapiens (human). Its description in RNAcentral is "HSALNT0397058". The record is from RNAcentral. Lineage: Eukaryota; Metazoa; Chordata; Mammalia; Primates; Hominidae.